UACGUAGGGGGCGAGCGUUGUCCGAAGUUACUGGGCGUAAAGCGCGCGUAGGCGGGCUGUUAAGUGAGAGGUGAAAGGCUGGGGCUCAACUCCAGCAGUGCCUCUCAUACUGGCAGUCUUGAGGGCGGUAGAGAGAAGUGGAAUGGCUGGUGUAGCGGUGAAAUGCGUAGAUAUCGAGAGGAACACCUGCGGCGAAGGCGGGUAGCUGGGCCGACACUGACGCUGAGGCGCGAAAGCCAGGGGAGCGAACGGG
RNAcentral lists this ribosomal RNA (253 nucleotides) under uncultured bacterium. Its description in RNAcentral is "partial 16S ribosomal RNA". It matches the Rfam family "Bacterial small subunit ribosomal RNA", at positions 524 to 776 of the family's 1533-position model. The record is from RNAcentral.